RNAcentral lists this ribosomal RNA (303 nucleotides) under uncultured bacterium. Its description in RNAcentral is "bacterial SSU rRNA". It matches the Rfam family "Bacterial small subunit ribosomal RNA", at positions 28 to 329 of the family's 1533-position model. The record is from RNAcentral.
GACGAACGCUGGCGGCGUGCUUAACACAUGCAAGUCGAGCGGUAAGGCCCUUUCGGGGGGUACACGAGCGGCGAACGGGUGAGUAACACGUGGGUGACCUGCCCUCAGCUCUGGGAUAAGGCCCGGGAAACUGGGUCUAAUACCGGAUAUGACUUCAUGACGCAUGUUGUGGAGUGGAAAGCCUUGUGCGGCUGAGGAUGGGCCCGCGGCCUAUCAGCCUUGUUGGUGGGGUGANGGCCUACCAAGGCGACGACGGGUAGCCGGCCUGAGAGGGCGACCGGCCACACUGGGACUGAGAUACGG